This 253-nucleotide unclassified non-coding RNA is filed under the name uncultured Halomonadaceae bacterium. RNAcentral describes it as "contains 16S-23S intergenic spacer region". It matches the Rfam family "Bacterial small subunit ribosomal RNA", at positions 524 to 776 of the family's 1533-position model. Lineage: Bacteria; Pseudomonadati; Pseudomonadota; Gammaproteobacteria; Oceanospirillales; Halomonadaceae. The record is from RNAcentral.
UACGCAGGGAGGAAGCGCUAGUCGGAAUUACUUGCCGUAAAGCGCGCGUAGGUGGCUUGAUAAGCCGGUUGUGAAAGCCCCGGGCUCAACUUGGGAACGGCAUCCGGAACUGUCAAGCUAGAGUACAGGAGAGGAAGGUAGAAUUCCCGGUGUAGCGGUGAAAUGCGUAGAGAUCGGGAGGAAUACCAGUGGCGAAGGCGGCCUUCUGGACUGAUACUGACACUGAGGUGCGAAAGCGUGGGUAGCAAACAGG